ACUCCCAAGAAGGAAGGUUCUCUAUCUGAAGAUCACUCCUCUUGGAGUGCUUCUGCAAGCCUGGGAUACAGGUUUCAAACCAAUGGAAAUGCACUGAUGGGAUGUGCAGUGGAAACGCUAAGUCACAGCUUGAACCAGUGAUUGAGCACCUAGUGGGAAGGCAGGGCCAACUCAAAGGACCUCAGGUGCGUGCAAUGUACCGCAGUGACUGGAAGGGGUGGAGCCAGGAUUCACCGCCUCCCAGACCUCAUUUAAGGGUUGGCAGUGGAAGUGAGGAUAUUUUGCUGGAGAUCCCUGCCUACCUGAGCCUAUCUGAAGGAAUGUGUUCCAAGAGGAUUCAUGCUUUGAUUUUCCUGGAGUCUAAGGUGAAACUGAUAGACUACUAGUUCUGAGUACACUUCAAC
Long non-coding RNA from Gallus gallus (chicken), 404 nucleotides. The record is from Ensembl. Lineage: Eukaryota; Metazoa; Chordata; Aves; Galliformes; Phasianidae.